Molecule: transfer RNA, 90 nt
Filed under: Candidatus Nealsonbacteria bacterium CG_4_10_14_0_2_um_filter_35_20
Lineage: Bacteria; Candidatus Nealsoniibacteriota
Also listed under: 2 other names
Description: tRNA-Ser
Rfam family: tRNA
About the family: Transfer RNA (tRNA) molecules are approximately 80 nucleotides in length. Their secondary structure includes four short double-helical elements and three loops (D, anti-codon, and T loops). Further hydrogen bonds mediate the characteristic L-shaped molecular structure. tRNAs have two regions of fundamental functional importance: the anti-codon, which is responsible for specific mRNA codon recognition, and the 3' end, to which the tRNAs corresponding amino acid is attached (by aminoacyl-tRNA synthetases). tRNAs cope with the degeneracy of the genetic code in two manners: having more than one tRNA (with a specific anti-codon) for a particular amino acid; and 'wobble' base-pairing, i.e. permitting non-standard base-pairing at the 3rd anti-codon position.
Source: RNAcentral
GGAGGAGUGGUAGAGUGGACGAUUACACCGCACUUGAAAUGCGGAGUCGUUGUAAAACGACCGCAGGUUCGAAUCCUGCCUCCUCCGCUA